GAUGAAGAACGUAGCGAAAUGCGAUAAGUAAUGUGAAUUGCAGAAUUCAGUGAAUCAUCGAAUCUUUGAACGCACAUUGCGCCCGCCAGUAUUCUGGCGGGCAUGCCUGUUCGAGCGUCAUUUCAACCCUCAAGACCCCUUCGGGGGACUUGGUGUUGGGGACCGGCACAGGGGCCUGCCUGCUUGUCUUGCAGCGCCCUCGCCGCCCCCGAAAUGAAUUGGCGGCCUCGUCGCGGCCUCCCCUGCGUAGUAGCACAACCUCGCAACGGGAACGUGACGGCGGCCACUGCCGUAAAACAACCCCAAUUUUAUUAGAGUUGACCUCGAAUCAGGUAGGAAUACCCGCUGAACUUAAGCAUAUAAUAAGCGGAGGA
This 374-nucleotide unclassified non-coding RNA is filed under the name soil metagenome. RNAcentral's name for it is "partial contains 5.8S ribosomal RNA, internal transcribed spacer 2, and large subunit ribosomal RNA". The stretch from base 1 to 120 matches the Rfam family "5.8S ribosomal RNA", at positions 35 to 154 of the family's 154-position model. The record is from RNAcentral.